RNAcentral lists this ribosomal RNA (253 nucleotides) under uncultured bacterium. Its description in RNAcentral is "partial 16S ribosomal RNA". It matches the Rfam family "Bacterial small subunit ribosomal RNA", at positions 524 to 776 of the family's 1533-position model. The record is from RNAcentral.
UACAGAGGCCUCAAGCGUUGCGCGGAAUCACUGGGCUUAAAGGGUGCGUAGGCGGAUGUGCAAGUGCCUUGUGAAAUCCCAGAGCUCAACUCUGGAACUGCUUGGUAGACUGCGUGUCUUGAGGUCGGUAGAGGUCGCUGGAACGGUUGGUGGAGCGGUGAAAUGCGUAGAUAUCAACCGGAACGCCCAAGGUGAAGACAAGCGACUGGGCCGAUUCUGACGCUGAGGCACGAAAGCGUGGGGAUCAAGCGGG